This 301-nucleotide ribosomal RNA is filed under the name uncultured bacterium. Its description in RNAcentral is "partial 16S ribosomal RNA". It matches the Rfam family "Bacterial small subunit ribosomal RNA", at positions 509 to 807 of the family's 1533-position model. The record is from RNAcentral.
CAGCCGCCGCGGGAAUACGGAGGAUCCAAGCGUUAUCCGAAAUCAUUGGGUUUAAAGGGUCCGUAGGCGGUCUUGUAAGUCAGUGGUGAAAGCCCAUCGCUCAACGGUGGAACUGCCAUUGAUACUGCAGGACUUGAAUUAUUGGGAAGUAACUAGAAUAUGUAGUGUAGCGGUGAAAUGCUUAGAGAUUACAUGGAAUACCAAUUGCGAAGGCAGGUUACUACCAAUUGAUUGACGCUGAUGGACGAAAGCGUGGGUAGCGAACAGGAUUAGAUACCCCCGUAGUCCCUGUCUCUUAUAC